This 497-nucleotide ribosomal RNA is filed under the name uncultured bacterium. RNAcentral describes it as "partial 16S ribosomal RNA". It matches the Rfam family "Bacterial small subunit ribosomal RNA", at positions 28 to 507 of the family's 1533-position model. The record is from RNAcentral.
GAUGAACGCUGGCGGCGUGCCUAAUACAUGCAAGUCGAGCGAACAGACGAGGAGCUUGCUCCUCUGACGUUAGCGGCGGACGGGUGAGUAACACGUGGAUAACCUACCUAUAAGACUGGGAUAACUUCGGGAAACCGGAGCUAAUACCGGAUAAUAUAUUGAACCGCAUGGUUCAAUAGUGAAAGACGGUUUUGCUGUCACUUAUAGAUGGAUCCGCGCCGCAUUAGCUAGUUGGUAAGGUAACGGCUUACCAAGGCAACGAUGCGUAGCCGACCUGAGAGGGUGGUCGGCCACAUGGGAACUGAGCCACGGUCCAGACUCCUACGGGAGGCAGCAGUAGGGAAUCUUCCGCAAUGGGGGAAAGCUUGACGGAGCAACGCCGCGUGAGUGAUGAAGGUCCUCGGAUCGUAAAACUAUGUUAUUAGGGAAGAACAAAUGUGGAAGUAACUAUGCACGUCUUGACGGUACCUAAUCAGAAAGCCCCGGCUAACUACGUG